This 87-nucleotide transfer RNA is filed under the name Planctomycetota bacterium. RNAcentral describes it as "tRNA-Leu". It matches the Rfam family "tRNA". Rfam says of the family: Transfer RNA (tRNA) molecules are approximately 80 nucleotides in length. Their secondary structure includes four short double-helical elements and three loops (D, anti-codon, and T loops). Further hydrogen bonds mediate the characteristic L-shaped molecular structure. tRNAs have two regions of fundamental functional importance: the anti-codon, which is responsible for specific mRNA codon recognition, and the 3' end, to which the tRNAs corresponding amino acid is attached (by aminoacyl-tRNA synthetases). tRNAs cope with the degeneracy of the genetic code in two manners: having more than one tRNA (with a specific anti-codon) for a particular amino acid; and 'wobble' base-pairing, i.e. permitting non-standard base-pairing at the 3rd anti-codon position. The record is from RNAcentral. Lineage: Bacteria; Pseudomonadati; Planctomycetota.
GGGCGCGUGGCGGAACUGGCAGACGCGCUAGGUUCAGGUCCUAGUGAUGGCAACAUCGUGGAGGUUCGAAUCCUCUCGCGCCCACCA